This 24-nucleotide non-coding RNA is filed under the name Cricetulus griseus (Chinese hamster). The record is from RNAcentral. Lineage: Eukaryota; Metazoa; Chordata; Mammalia; Rodentia; Cricetidae.
UAGUCCAGGAAUGGUCAUGAUCUG